UUCGAUAUCCUAUAUUUUAUAUAAUAAUUCAACUUUGUACCCUUUUUAAGUAAUAUUACAAGUUUAUUUUUCAUAUUUUUGGUGUAUGACAUUAUGAAACGAGAAUAAACAAGACAAUCUAUCGAAACGUUGUAUUCAUCAAACAAUACAAUAUAAUAUAACGUAAUACGAUACAUUAUAAAACAACAUGUAACAACAAUACAAUCCACUUAAUUAAUUCUUAGGAGGUGGUGCGGCGAAGAAUGGAAUGGAUGAGAUAGAAGGGAAUAUUGUUGGGAAGGAAGAAGGCAUUGGUGGCAUUGCAAAUUUUGGUAUCCCUGCAGGAAUUGUAAUUGGAACACUUGGAAUUGGUGGCAUUCCUUGUGGAAUUGUGGGAAAAUAUGGAAUGCUUGAGCCAGCAGGUUGAUUGUUGGAUUCUUGAUUAGAAUAUGAU
This 433-nucleotide long non-coding RNA is filed under the name Nicotiana benthamiana. RNAcentral's name for it is "long non-coding RNA (NBEN_LNC017813)". Lineage: Eukaryota; Viridiplantae; Streptophyta; Magnoliopsida; Solanales; Solanaceae. The record is from RNAcentral.